UACGUAGGGUGCAAGCGUUAUCCGGAAUUAUUGGGCGUAAAGAGCUCGUAGGCGGUUUGUCACGUCUGCUGUGAAAACUGGAGGCUCAACCUCCAGCCUGCAGUGGGUACGGGCAGACUAGAGUGCGGUAGGGGAGAUUGGAAUUCCUGGUGUAGCGGUGGAAUGCGCAGAUAUCAGGAGGAACAGCCAGAUGGCGAAGGCAGAUCUCUGGGCCGUAACUGACGCUGAGGAGCGAAAGCAUGGGGAGCGAACAGG
Molecule: ribosomal RNA, 255 nt
Filed under: uncultured bacterium
Lineage: Bacteria
Description: partial 16S ribosomal RNA
Rfam family: Bacterial small subunit ribosomal RNA
Source: RNAcentral